This 144-nucleotide ribosomal RNA is filed under the name Triticum aestivum (bread wheat). RNAcentral describes it as "partial small subunit ribosomal RNA". The record is from RNAcentral. Lineage: Eukaryota; Viridiplantae; Streptophyta; Magnoliopsida; Poales; Poaceae.
AUGAAAUCGAAAAUAUUCCGAGAUGGCAAAUAUUCGGAGAUGACUAUGAAAACACCUCUCUGGAUCCUCGAAUUGAAAGAGAGAUUGAGAGGGAUCAAGAAUCAACAUAAAGGCCCAAGGUAUGGAAUCCUAGAAAGAGGCUAG